Molecule: transfer RNA, 66 nt
Filed under: Aedes albopictus (Asian tiger mosquito)
Lineage: Eukaryota; Metazoa; Arthropoda; Insecta; Diptera; Culicidae
Description: tRNA-His
Source: RNAcentral
AUUUAAAUAGUUUAAAAUAAAAUAUUGAUUUGUGGUGUCAAUGAUAUGAUGUUUUCAUUUUAAAUC